CCGAGUGAAGUGGGAAGAGCUCAACUUUGUAAUCUGGCUGCUUCGCAGUCCGAGUUGUAGUCUAAAGAAGCAUGAUCCGCGCCGGACCUUGGGCAUGUCUGUUGGAAAGCAGUGUCAAAGAGGGUGAUAAUCCCGUACAUACCAAGGACGACCGUGUGCAUUGUGGUCUGCUCUCUAAGAGUCGAGUUGUUUGGGAAUGCAGCUCUAAUUGGGUGGUAAAUUCCAUCUAAAGCUAAAUAUCGACGAGAGACCGAUAGCGAACAAGUACAGUAAUGGAAAGAUGAAAAGUAGCCUGCAGAGGCAAUGAAACAAUACGUGAAACCGUUUGUAGGGAAGCGAUGGAACCUUUUCACGCUGCGAGGGUUCAGCCUUUCUUCGGAUUGGUGUAUUCCCUCGUUUUGCGGACCAGCAUCAGUUUGCUUGGCAGUAUAAGGGUGUUUGGAACGUGGCUCCCACGGGAGUGUUAUAGCCUUUCACUGGAUGCUGCCUCGCAGACUGAGGACUGCAGUGCGCCAUUAUGGCAUAGUCUUCGGGCUACGAGCACUUAGGAUGCUGGGCGAAUGGGUUUCAACGACCCGUCUAACCCGACAACCACA
RNAcentral lists this ribosomal RNA (596 nucleotides) under Sterigmatomyces elviae. RNAcentral describes it as "partial large subunit ribosomal RNA". It matches the Rfam family "Eukaryotic large subunit ribosomal RNA", at positions 89 to 661 of the family's 3401-position model. The record is from RNAcentral. Lineage: Eukaryota; Fungi; Basidiomycota; Agaricostilbomycetes; Agaricostilbales; Agaricostilbaceae.